UGAAAAGCUACGGUCUUGUCCAUGAAGACUGCUUAACUAAGAUGAGGUUGAUUUCCUUGAUGGAUCUUGGUUCUGAUGAAUCUGGACGGAUUCCUUGCGGUGCUGUCAGAGAUAUUCUGGAGGUUAGGUUGGCUUACCUUUCUCGUCCCAGAAGUUUUAAUCUGACAUCAUGGUUAAUUAUGCUUCUGCACUUCUUUUUGGCAGAUUAAUGAUAACGAAGUUGAACUUUGGGUGGUAAAGGCAAUAACUGCUAAGUUGAUGGACUGUAAAAUGGACCAGAUGAAUCAAGUGGUGACUGUGAGCCGCUGUACUGAGAGAGUAUUUGGGGAAGAACAAUGGCUUACACUAAGAACA
This is a long non-coding RNA of Pyrus x bretschneideri (Chinese white pear), 354 nucleotides long. RefSeq lists it as uncharacterized. The transcript has 3 exons. NCBI's taxonomy places the organism in Eukaryota, Viridiplantae, Streptophyta, Magnoliopsida, Rosales, Rosaceae. The record is from RefSeq and is a predicted model, not a curated record.